Molecule: ribosomal RNA, 706 nt
Filed under: Shigella sonnei
Lineage: Bacteria; Pseudomonadati; Pseudomonadota; Gammaproteobacteria; Enterobacterales; Enterobacteriaceae
Description: partial 23S ribosomal RNA
Rfam family: Bacterial large subunit ribosomal RNA
Source: RNAcentral
AAUGAGGCGAACCGGGGGAACUGAAACAUCUAAGUACCCCGAGGAAAAGAAAUCAACCGAGAUUCCCCCAGUAGCGGCGAGCGAACGGGGAGGAGCCCAGAGCCUGAAUCAGUGUGUGUGUUAGUGGAAGCGUCUGGAAAGGCGCGCGAUACAGGGUGACAGCCCCGUACACAAAAAUACACAUAUUGUGAGCUCGAUGAGUAGGGCGGGACACGUGGUAUCCUGUCUGAAUAUGGGGGACCCAUCCUCCAAGGCUAAAUACUCCUGACUGACCGAUAGUGAACCAGUACCGUGAGGGAAAGGCGAAAAGAACCCCGGCGAGGGGAGUGAAAAAGAACCUGAAACCGUGUACGUACAAGCAGUGGGAGCACGCUUAGGCGUGUGACUGCGUACCUUUUGUAUAAUGGGUCAGCGACUUAUAUUCUGUAGCAAGGUUAACCGAAUAGGGGAGCCGAAGGGAAACCGAGUCUUAACUGGGCGUUAAGUUGCAGGGUAUAGACCCGAAACCCGGUGAUCUAGCCAUGGGCAGGUUGAAGGUUGGGUAACACUAACUGGAGGACCGAACCGACUAAUGUUGAAAAAUUAGCGGAUGACUUGUGGCUGGGGGUGAAAGGCCAAUCAAACCGGGAGAUAGCUGGUUCUCCCCGAAAGCUAUUUAGGUAGCGCCUCGUGAAUUCAUCUCCGGGGGUAGAGCACUGUUUCGGCA